AUUGAACGCUGGCGGCAUGCCUUACACAUGCAAGUCGAACGGCAGCGCGGGGCAACCUGGCGGCGAGUGGCGAACGGGUGAGUAAUAUAUCGGAACAUACCCUAGAGUGGGGAUAACGUAGCGAAAGUUACGCUAAUACCGCAUACGCACUAAGGUGGAAAGUGGGGGAUCUUCGGACCUCAUGCUCAUGGAGUGGCCGAUAUCUGAUUAGCUAGUUGGUGAGGUAAAGGCUCACCAAGGCGACGAUCAGUAGCGGGUCUGAGAGGAUGAUCCGCCACACUGGGACUGAGACACGGCCCAGACUCCUACGGGAGGCAGCAGUGGGGAAUUUUGGGACAAUGGGCGAAAGCCUGAUCCAGCCAUUCCGCGUGAGUGAAGAAGGCCUU
This 386-nucleotide ribosomal RNA is filed under the name uncultured bacterium. RNAcentral's name for it is "bacterial SSU rRNA". It matches the Rfam family "Bacterial small subunit ribosomal RNA", at positions 30 to 418 of the family's 1533-position model. The record is from RNAcentral.